GGAAGUUUUUAGUUGUCGCUGCUAACGAUGAUUGUGAAUCUUUGUUUGAUUCGACUUUCU
Molecule: transfer RNA, 60 nt
Filed under: Morishitium polonicum
Lineage: Eukaryota; Metazoa; Platyhelminthes; Trematoda; Plagiorchiida; Cyclocoelidae
Description: tRNA-Ser
Source: RNAcentral